UUAAUAUCUUAUGUUUUGUCUUACUGUAUGCAUUUGACAUUUCACCUAGAUUGUUCAAUGGUUGUCUCUGCCUGAUAGACUCUCAACUCUAGCUCCCAAACCCAAGGUCAGGGAGUUGUGUCUCUGUCUGUUGAGACUUGGUGCUCCUUUCUCACAGAUAGUUGGACGUCAGCGAUGCAGGUGUGAGAAUGUAAAUAUCUUCACACACACUGCGACAGGAAGGAGAUGGUGCAUGUAAUUUGAUUGGGUUAGAAAGACAUUCCACCCUAGUCGGACAGAGAAGCUAAAAGGCAGAAGCAACUUUAGGAUCGUGGGCUUUGCAUCACACCUUCGUGGUGUGUGCACUGAUCUCCCCAGCUGGUUUUUGGUUUGUUGAUGUGCACGAUCAACAUCCAUGCUUUUUAUUUGCUUUCCCCAUUAUUUUUAUUUUCUUUAUUAUUUCAAUAAAUCGCACAAAAGGACAACUCUCUCUCAUCUACUUCUUUAUGGAAAAUUUCCACCACAGAAAUUGGCGUUGUCGGCAGGAUCCCGCUGCAGGUCGUCUGGACGGUGUGGCCAGGGACGAUAGUCCUGAGGACUAGGGUCGCUCAGCCUCCAAACCUCUACAGACAUUCAGAGCUGGGAGGACUGCUCACCCGUCUGGAUCGCCUCUGACGAGAUCCACGAACUCAGAUUCAAACUCAAAUCCUAAUUUGGCUCGGCUCGGUGAGAGAGAUUCCUUUGAUUUGGGAAAAACAAAAAGAUUGGAACUUUUAUUUUUAAUUUAGCUGAAACAUUUCAAUUGGUUGAAAAAAAAGGGAAAGAAAUCUUCUAUUUGGUUGAAACACUAAAUUUGAUUAGGAAAAUUAAUUAGAUCGAGAAAAAGAGAAAAAAAAAUCCCAAUAAUACAUGUUCUUAAUUAGGUGAAAGUCUGCUCUGGGUGGUGAGACGUCGGUUGCUAAGGGUUGGCUCGUGGAACCGAGCUUCCGUCUGUACUGAGGAUACAGACAUGUUUUUUUGAUCUGUGCGUGGUCCACACGUGGGGGACUGAGUAUAAAAGACGGCUUCUGAAAGAGGGAGCGCGUGUGCAGAGUGAAGUAUUUUCAAGAUACGAGGGACCCGGGCCUAGAGGGGCCUAACGUUGAGGAAAUACUUCGUGAAAGGCUCUGUCGCCAGAUCAGGUUGGUUCCCUUUUUACGGAGACGUCCGAUAAAAAGGCAUUUUGGGAAGGUUCCGGCCGGAACACACAAAAAAUCUAAGGCAGGAAACCGCCGGACUCUGAAAGACGGGUUCGGGGCAAUUUGAGUCUUCACCACCAGACAGCAACCGUACAAAACUAAAGAACUGAGCGCGAUGAGGGUAAAUCCGGAUCUGGACUCCUUUCCCACCAUCAGCAGAAGAACCGAAGGAGAAGAAGCGCCUGAUCAACAACCAGAACAGGGUGGAGGCUCUGACGCCACAGCAGCUGGAGGACACAGACCACAGCAUGGACGCCUCAGCGACUCUCACAACGUCUGCAGCCAUCACGUUCUGGGCUCAUCAGGUGAACCAGCUACUACAAGCGUGUGUGUCUGACACAGACACCUGCUUAUGACAAUCAGCAAAGGAAAACAAGGACAGAGCAACAGCAGAGAAGACGUGCUCUGACACAGACACUGGUUGAAACAACAGGAGAGGCUUCAGACGUGAUCGGCCCAAUAGAGCUGCAUGUGAGGAUCCAGGAAACGUCUGUCAUCGAGGAACAACUGUCCCAUUGAAAAGCUUCACCCACUGGCGCUCACAUGAGACUGAUGGUUGGGGAAGGAGGAAGGUGACGGUUCCUUUUCUCGUGACGUACAAGACGGUACCGCAAACACACACACACACACACACAUUCAUACACGCAAUGAAGAAACACGCUUACAGCUGAUACACGCUCAAAUUCAUGUUCAUGCUUAUCUGCUCGCAAUGAAGAAUCGCUUUCUGCUCAAAAAAAAAAUCCCACAGAGUGAUUUUAAAAUGAUGACAAACAGCUAAACGACAACUGCUGCAUGACUUUACAGUCUGAUGGGUUCAAACUAUUUUAACUUGCAACAAAUUCAGUAAUAAAAUCCUCUAUGUUUCUAAAAGGGUUUGUGCACAAUAUAGGUUUGUCUGGCCAGACUAGAAGACUAUAGGAAACAAAACAGACUGUAGAAAAACAAAACAGACUGUAGAAAAAACAAAAAAACAGACUAUAGGAAAACAAAACAGACUGUAGAAAAAACAAAACCAGACCAUAGGAAGACUGAAACCGACUGAAACAGACUAUUAAUGACUAUUAAAGGGAAGACGACUAUUAGAGAGAAGUAAUAAUAAUUACUGUACGUACCAGACUAUUAAAGAAAAACUUAUUCUUUCACUGUCUUGUGCAACAUCUGACAGCAAGACACCUUAACAUUCAUUUUUGCUUUCAAACUUGUGCCCAGUUAAAUUUUUAGGAAGAGAUUUCAUGUGUAAAUUAGGUAUUUGAUUGAUUUCCACUCCAGACGGAGUGCAGGUUACAUCUACAGACAUUCUAAAUAAUCCCUCUUUUGUUGGUGUUAACUUCAGCUCAGCUGUGCUCUUAUCAUUGGCUGCUGAGGGGGGGCUGUAACUGAGGCCCUCACACAGGCUGCAUCACAGCUUGUUUAUGAUUUCACACACACACACACACACACACAC
Molecule: long non-coding RNA, 2661 nt
Organism: Betta splendens (Siamese fighting fish)
Lineage: Eukaryota; Metazoa; Chordata; Actinopteri; Anabantiformes; Osphronemidae
Exons: 2
Source: RefSeq, a predicted model, not a curated record